GAGGUCUGUUCUAUCUCUGAGACACCCAUCGCCUUUUAUUUAUUUUCAGGUGCACAUCCUGGAAAGAGGAAAGAUUUGAGGAAAAUAUAAAACUUCCUCCUUUCUCCCGGAUCGAACCCGGGUCUCUGGCACUGUGAGGCAGCAGCUCUACCAGUUGUGCCACUGUGCUGCCCUUAGGACAAGCCAUCAAAGGAAAAAGAGAAUGAUUAAAAUGGAAAGCUGGACUCAGUCUUCAAAACUGUUCAUAUUCACAAUUUUGCUAAGUUAUGUCAUGAGUCCAGCUUUAAAAUGUUGCACCCUUGUGUCUACCUGCAGUGCUGCAAUCUAGACCACAAGGUGAUGCUUUAAGCAAACAUUUUACUGUAACAUCAUUAACUUGAAAUUCAAUUAAGCAUUAUGAACAAGAA
Long non-coding RNA from Amblyraja radiata (thorny skate), 407 nucleotides. RefSeq lists it as uncharacterized. The record is from RefSeq and is a predicted model, not a curated record. Lineage: Eukaryota; Metazoa; Chordata; Chondrichthyes; Rajiformes; Rajidae. The transcript is spliced from 2 exons.